Molecule: ribosomal RNA, 580 nt
Filed under: Dujonia oleophila
Lineage: Eukaryota; Fungi; Ascomycota; Pichiomycetes; Serinales; Debaryomycetaceae
Description: eukaryotic LSU rRNA
Rfam family: Eukaryotic large subunit ribosomal RNA
Source: RNAcentral
UUGCAUAUCAAAAAGCGGAGGAAAAGAAACCAACAGGGAUUGCCUUAGUAACGGCGAGUGAAGCGGCAAAAGCUCAAAUUUGAAAUCUAGCACUUUCAGUGUUCGAGUUGUAAUUUGAAGAAGGUAACUUUGGAAUUGGCUCUUGUCUAUGUUCCUUGGAACAGGACGUCACAGAGGGUGAGAAUCCCGUGCGAUGAGAUGUCCAAUUCUAUGUAAAGUGCUUUCGAAGAGUCGAGUUGUUUGGGAAUGCAGCUCUAAGUGGGUGGUAAAUUCCAUCUAAAGCUAAAUAUUGGCGAGAGACCGAUAGCGAACAAGUACAGUGAUGGAAAGAUGAAAAGAACUUUGAAAAGAGAGUGAAAAAGUACGUGAAAUUGUUGAAAGGGAAGGGCUUGAGAUCAGACUUGGUAUUUUGUGUUCCUUAUUCUUUUUGGAUUUGGUUCCUCACAGCUUACCGGGCCAGCAUCGGUUUGGAUGGUAGGAUAAUGACAUUGGAAUGUAGCUUUGCUUCGGUGAAGUGUUAUAGACUUUGUUGAUACUGCCUAUCUAGACCGAGGACUGCGUCUUUGACUAGGAUGCUGCG